GUGUCAGCAGCCGCGGUAAUACGGAGGGUGCAAGCGUUGUCCGGAUUUAUUGGGUUUAAAGGGUGCGUAGGCGGUUCUUUAAGUCUGGGGUGAAAGCCCGUUGCUCAACAACGGAACUGCCCUGGAAACUGGAGAACUUGAGUACAGACGAGGGUGGCGGAAUGGAUGGUGUAGCGGUGAAAUGCAUAGAUACCAUCCAGAACCCCGAUUGCGAAGGCAGCUGCCUAGACUGUAACUGACGCUGAGGCACGAAAGCGUGGGGAGCGAACAGGAUUAGAUACCCCCGUAGUCC
Molecule: ribosomal RNA, 292 nt
Filed under: uncultured bacterium
Lineage: Bacteria
Description: partial 16S ribosomal RNA
Rfam family: Bacterial small subunit ribosomal RNA
Source: RNAcentral